GGCGCAUACCACCACGCCCAGCUAAUUUUUUGUAUUUUUAGUAGAAAUGGGGUUUCACCAUGUUAGCCAGGCUGGACUUGAACUCCUGACCUCAAGUGAUCUGCCCGCCUCGGCCUCCCAAAGUGCUGGGAUUACAGGCGUGAGCCACUGCACCAGCCUCAGCUAUGUUCUCUAAACCCACACCCCAGACCUACAUUUGAAACCCAGAUCCCCCUGGCUUCAGUCACAAACCUGAAGGAGGAAAUCUCCACACCACAGCCUGGAACUGAACUUAUCAUCCCCGUCUGAUCCACAGUAAGCUGCUCUUUCAGACUCCUCAUCUAUUUCCAUGGUUCUGCCAGUCUCCUGGGCAUUGCCAACCUGCCCACUGUCCUCUCCUUUUCCUACCCAAGGUAACUUUCCUUUGGUCAGUUACCAAAGCAGAUAGGCUUUCCCCGAUACAUUUUCCAUUUGUCUCUUCCUUUCUCUGCCUCCAGUCUGUUGUGUUUUCAGUUCCUGAGCACCUGCCUUUGUUAGCUUAAUCUCCCUAAACAGUGCCCGAUGGAGCAAUGAGUGAAACUGGAUCCCUUCCUUACACCUUAUAGAAAAAUUAAUUCAAGAUGGAUUAAAGACUUACAAACGGUGCUGUGUGGUAAAGUUCCAUGGCUUUUCCUGCCCUGGUCAUGUUUGGCUUCCCUGCGACGAGAGCCUGAACUUCACUGAGACUCCCCACAGAGGGGCUACAGUGCCAAACACAGAGGUCCACCGCGUCGGUAUACAUACAGUGUAAUAUCACUUUUGCAUAUUUUUGUGGUAUAAUGGACUCAUCUAAUAUAAUUCUUGUGGGAGUCCUCAAAGUUCCAUCUGUGAUUUCUUCAACAAAUUCUUCACUAAGCUGAACAAGGAUAACGACAUUUUGAAACCCUGAGUCUUCCAUUCCAAACUCUCCUGUAUAAAGAUAGUGUAACAAAGCAGAAAACAUGGGCAUAUCAAUACCAGCUGUAUUGAUGUCCAUUAUUAUCUCUGCCCCAUACUCAGGUGAGGAAGAAAGCAUUUAAAAAAUGGACACCUUGCUGCCAAAAUGGCACGAUGAACAGGAUAACAAGUUUCUUGAAAUAUGAAAUCUGUAUCAGUACGAUACUUGUACUCAUAAAGAUCAGCCAUAUCUUUCUGCAAUGUCCGGGCUUCCGGUCUAGCCAAACUGGCUUGUAGGGAAAGCUUCUAUAAUGCUGACCUUCCCUCAUAUUCCUCCACUAAUGCACUGACAUCUCUAAUAUC
This 1257-nucleotide long non-coding RNA is filed under the name Pan troglodytes (chimpanzee). RNAcentral's name for it is "long non-coding RNA NONPTRT001630". The record is from RNAcentral. Lineage: Eukaryota; Metazoa; Chordata; Mammalia; Primates; Hominidae.